This 1467-nucleotide long non-coding RNA is filed under the name Equus caballus (horse). Its description in RNAcentral is "lncRNA (ENSECAG00000046907.1)". Lineage: Eukaryota; Metazoa; Chordata; Mammalia; Perissodactyla; Equidae. The record is from RNAcentral.
GGCAAGGGUGGUAUUUGGGAGCAGUAGCAAAUGUACCGAGAGGCGUGAUGGCUGCGUCCUUGAGGAGCCCGCCGUUAGCAGGGACGUCAUUCAUUCACCCAUUCAGCAGAUGGUUCUGGACGGUCUCCUAUGCUCUGUUCUGGGCGCUGGCGAUCCAUCAAAGAAGAAAACGGAGUCUCUGCCUUCUAGACAAGUCAGUGGACACCGUGACCCCAGAGGGAAGUGCUGUGAGAGAGGGAUGUGCACAGAGGAGUGUCCCCCUGACCGUCAGGAGGCGUCAGAAGAGGCUUCUCAGAGGGCAAGUCCAGCGGGGCCUGAGCUCAGGAGGUUACCAGUCAGAGCGCGGGGAGGAGCAUUCCGGGGCAUGGGCCCGGCCGUGGCACUGUGAGGACAUCGUCCAGUGGAUUUGAGCUGAGGGACUGCGGGGGCAGGGGAAGGGAGAGGAGGCAGGAAAGACAGGCUGGGCCCCGCCCACUUGUGAAAAGCUUGGACUUCAUCCUGGAGACAAAGGAGUCAAGUCGCAGAGUCGUCAGAAGAGAGGGACUUUCCGCCCUGAGGCCCGGUUCAGACUGCCCAGGGAGGGUCCCUCCCUCCCACUCUGUCCCUGCCUCUGCCCUGAGGCGGGGGGCUCUGGCUCCACAUCCCAGGCGUUGGUGCAGAUGCUGCCACUCCAUCCACCCUCUGGAAGAGGAGGCAGGGCCUGGCCCGGCUGCAGCCACGUUGGCAGGGUCACUGCCCCAGUCCCUGGCCUGUCGCUCUGGCUCACCCCCACCCGCUCACUGCCCGUCCUCUAGCCUCCUCCUCUUCUGCUUCCCGGUUCCCUGGGUGAACUCUUCCGGGUCAGGCUUCUCUCCGCAGGCCUCUGCUGCUCCCCAGGGAGGAAGACCAGGUGGUUGCCGGCCUCGCCUCCCUUCCCAGUUGUCGGGAGGAGCCAUGGAGAACACCAUGAAGACGAAGGGCGAACUGGACCUCACGUGCCCCGGACGCCUCUCGGCUGGACUCCUGGAUGGAGAAGCAGGCAAGCAGAGGCUCAGAGAGGUUAAGGGGCUUGCCCAAGGUCACACAGCCCAGGGAAAGGGCAGAGUGGAGCUGCACCCAGUUCCAUCCAUUUCAGUCUCCUCUCCUGCCAUUCUGCCUUUCUCAUCUUCAGCCUGACCCGAUCUGCAGACAAACAGUGAGUGAGAACAAAAGAAAACAAGUUAAAAACCAGAGGCUUUUGCAGAAAACUGUUGGAGGCUGGAGUGAGUGUAAAAAUAACCAGGUGUGUUCAAGGGAAACCUCGAGUCUCCAAACAAUAUGUUUUGUGCUAAGAUGAUUUUCGUAAUGAUGCAGGUUGCGGAGGGUCCGGCGGGGCCGGGCUCAGGGAGCGGAGGGCUGACGUUCUGAGCUCGAAGGCCGCACCGUCCAAAACGGCCGCCAGGAACCACACACGGCUCUUUAAGUUUAAUUAAAAUGAAAUAAAAUUAA